This 496-nucleotide ribosomal RNA is filed under the name uncultured bacterium. RNAcentral's name for it is "partial 16S ribosomal RNA". It matches the Rfam family "Bacterial small subunit ribosomal RNA", at positions 28 to 506 of the family's 1533-position model. The record is from RNAcentral.
GAUGAACGCUGGCGGCGUGCCUAAUACAUGCAAGUCGAGCGAACAGAUAAGGAGCUUGCUCCUUUGACGUUAGCGGCGGACGGGUGAGUAACACGUGGGUAACCUACCUAUAAGACUGGAAUAACUCCGGGAAACCGGGGCUAAUGCCGGAUAACAUUUAGAACCGCAUGGCUCUAAAGUGAAAGAUGGUUUUGCUAUCACUUAUAGAUGGACCCGCGCCGUAUUAGCUAGUUGGUAAGGUAACGGCUUACCAAGGCAACGAUACGUAGCCGACCUGAGAGGGUGAUCGGCCACACUGGAACUGAGACACGGUCCAGACUCCUACGGGAGGCAGCAGUAGGGAAUCUUCCGCAAUGGGCGAAAGCCUGACGGAGCAACGCCGCGUGAGUGAUGAAGGUCUUCGGAUCGUAAAACUCUGUUAUUAGGGAAGAACAAAUGUGUAAGUAACUGUGCACGUCUUGACGGUACCUAAUCAGAAAGCCACGGCUAACUACGU